Molecule: ribosomal RNA, 254 nt
Filed under: uncultured bacterium
Lineage: Bacteria
Description: partial 16S ribosomal RNA
Rfam family: Bacterial small subunit ribosomal RNA
Source: RNAcentral
GCAAGUCGAGCGAUUUUUAAAGCGUGGGUAACCAUGCUUUAAAGAUAGCGGCGGACGGGUGAGUAAUGCAUAGGAAUCUGCCUUUAGGCGGGGGACAACCCGGGGAAACCCGGGCUAAUACCGCAUAAUGUCUACGGACCAAAGUGGGGGACCGCAAGGCCUCACACCUAGAGAGGAGCCUAUGUCGGAUUAGCUUGUUGGUGAGGUAAAGGCUCACCAAGGCGAAGAUCCGUAGCUGGUUUGAGAGGAUGACC